This 440-nucleotide ribosomal RNA is filed under the name uncultured bacterium. RNAcentral's name for it is "partial 16S ribosomal RNA". It matches the Rfam family "Bacterial small subunit ribosomal RNA", at positions 338 to 795 of the family's 1533-position model. The record is from RNAcentral.
CCUACGGGUGGCUGCAGUGGGGAAUAUUGCACAAUGGGGGAAACCCUGAUGCAGCGACGCCGCGUGAAGGAAGAAGUAUUUCGGUAUGUAAACUUCUAUCAGCAGGGAAGAAAAUUACGGUACCUGACUAAGAAGCCCCGGCUAACUACGUUCCAGCGGCCGCGGUAAUACGUAGGGGGCAAGCGUUAUCCGGAUUUACUGGGUGUAACGGGGGCGUAGGCGGCGAUGCAAGUCAGAGGUGAAAGCCCAGGGCUCAACUCCGGGACUGCUUUUGAAACUGUAGGGCUAGAUUGCAGGAGAGGCGAGUGGAAUUCCUAGUGUAGCGGUGAAAUGCGUAGAUAUUAGGAGGAACACCAGUGGCGAAGGCGGCUUGCUGGACUGUAAAUGACGCUGAGGCUCGAAAGCGUGGGGAGCAAACAGGAUUAGAUACCCCUGUAGUC